UACGUAGGGUCCGAGCGUUGUCCGGAAUUAUUGGGCGUAAAGGGCUCGUAGGCGGUUUGUCACGUCGGGAGUGAAAACUCAGGGCUCAACCCUGAGCGUGCUUCCGAUACGGGCAGACUAGAGGUAUGCAGGGGAGAACGGAAUUCCUGGUGUAGCGGUGGAAUGCGCAGAUAUCAGGAGGAACACCGGUGGCGAAGGCGGUUCUCUGGGCAUUACCUGACGCUGAGGAGCGAAAGCGUGGGGAGCAAACGGG
RNAcentral lists this ribosomal RNA (253 nucleotides) under uncultured bacterium. Its description in RNAcentral is "partial 16S ribosomal RNA". It matches the Rfam family "Bacterial small subunit ribosomal RNA", at positions 524 to 776 of the family's 1533-position model. The record is from RNAcentral.